Molecule: ribosomal RNA, 616 nt
Filed under: uncultured bacterium
Lineage: Bacteria
Description: bacterial SSU rRNA
Rfam family: Bacterial small subunit ribosomal RNA
Source: RNAcentral
GAGGUAACGGCUCACCAAGGCGACGACGGGUAGCCGGCCUGAGAGGGCGACCGGCCACACUGGGACUGAGACACGGCCCAGACUCCUACGGGAGGCAGCAGUGGGGAAUAUUGGGCAAUGGACGCAAGUCUGACCCAGCGACGCCGCGUGAGGGAUGAAGGCCUUCGGGUUGUAAACCUCUUUCAGUGGGGAAGAAGCGAAAGUGACGGUACCCAAAGAAGAAGCACCGGCUAACUAUGUGCCAGCAGCCGCGGUAAUACAUAGGGUGCAAGCGUUGUCCGGAAUUAUUGGGCGUAAAGAGCUCGUAGGCGGCUUGUUACGUCGGCUGUGAAAACCUGGGGCUCAACCCCGGGCCUGCAGCCGAUACGGGCAAGCUAGAAUUCGGUAGGGGAGACUGGAAUUCCUGGUGUAGCGGUGAAAUGCGCAGAUAUCAGGAGGAACACCGGUGGCGAAGGCGGGUCUCUGGGCCGAUAUUGACGCUGAGGAGCGAAAGCGUGGGGAGCGAACAGGAUUAGAUACCCUGGUAGUCCACGCCGUAAACGUUGGGCGCUAGGUGUGGGCCACAUUCCACGUGGUCUGUGCCGCAGCUAACGCAUUAAGCGCCCCGCCUGGGGAG